UACCAGACUCCUACGGGAGGCAGCAGUGGGGGAUAUUGCACAAUGGGGGGAACCCUGAUGCAGCGACGCCGCGUGGGUGAAGAAGCGCCUCGGCGCGUAAAGCCCUGUCAGCAGGGAAGAAAAUGACGGUACCUGAAGAAGAAGCCCCGGCUAACUACGUGCCAGCAGCCGCGGUAAUACGUAUGGUGCAAGCGUUAUCCGGAUUUACUGGGUGUAAAGGGAGCGCAGGCGGUACGGCAAGUCUGAUGUGAAAGCCCGGGGCGCAACCCCGGUACUGCAUUGGAAACUGUCGGACUAGAGUGUCGGAGGGGUAAGUGGAAUUCCUAGUGUAGCGGUGAAAUGCGUAGAUAUCAGGAGGAACACCGGUGGCGAAGGCGGCCUGCUGGACUGCGACUGACGUUGAGGCCCGAAAGCGUGGGGAGCAAACAGGAUUAGAUACCCGCGUAGA
Molecule: ribosomal RNA, 448 nt
Filed under: uncultured bacterium
Lineage: Bacteria
Description: bacterial SSU rRNA
Rfam family: Bacterial small subunit ribosomal RNA
Source: RNAcentral